RNAcentral lists this long non-coding RNA (840 nucleotides) under Bos taurus (domestic cattle). RNAcentral describes it as "long non-coding RNA NONBTAT004985". Lineage: Eukaryota; Metazoa; Chordata; Mammalia; Artiodactyla; Bovidae. The record is from RNAcentral.
CAGGGGAGGCAUUUUUAAUGGACUGUAAGGUAGUUUUCUGAGCCCCUAGUGAGUUCCCAUUUGGAACAAGGUACAUUUCUUUAAAGGAUAGCUUUGUCAUUAUUUCUUCAUUUAAAAAACACCUUGAGUGGCAAACUUAAAACCCCUGGGAAUUAGAGGAAGAAGUGUUACAGUAGAUGGGGAGAGAAGGUCCUCUGGAAACUGGUUUUAGUAUCUUUCAGUACUUCAGUGUAAGGAUGCUGAUACACCAGUUCUUGCCUUAUUUUGUUUCUAUGAUAGCAUUCGCUUUAUGAUCAUAGUUAGAAUAACCCUGCUCUUUAAAAGACACUCGGAAUUGGCAUCUAUCUAGCUCUUAGAACAUUAUACAUCAGUAAAACUUUUCUAGUGUUUUAGUAAGGGCAUAUUUAUAUUCUUAGGAAUUUCAGCUGACCACUUCUAGGGUACAGUAUUGACUUCUUGAAUAGUCAGUUAUGAAUUUGAAUUGAUAGAGAAAAUGGAGUUAAGCUAUUUUAAUUUUUCAGUACCAGAAAUCAAGGAGGAGUUAAAUUUCUGGAAAAAAGCAAAUAAAGUGGGUAUAUACUAAGUUGUUUACAUAAAUUCAGGUGCACAAAUAUUUGUCCUGUGGUUAAUUCUUCCAGUGUUAAUGUAUAGAGAAAUUUUUCGUGUUUGAUGAUACAUAUGGGUAGUGACCCAUUGCCUCUUUUUAAGGCAUUGCUAACAUUGAAAAUGUGUGGAUUCACUGAAGAGAUAUGAUUGGAUCAGUGUGUUUUCACCUAGAGAUUUUGAAAACUGUUUGCAUGCUGUUAUGUAAGGUAUUUCUCACCUUAAUUAUUCUUGUUU